ACUGCGGAGAUCAUUACCGAGUGAGGGCCCUCUGGGUCCAACCUCCCACCCGUGUCUAUCGUACCUUGUUGCUUCGGCGGGCCCGCCGUUUCGACGGCCGCCGGGGAGGCCCUGCGCCCCCGGGCCCGCGCCCGCCGAAGACCCCAACAUGAACGCUGUUCUGAAAGUAUGCAGUCUGAGUUGAUUAUCGUAAUCAGUUAAAACUUUCAACAACGGAUCUCUUGGUUCCGGCAUCGAUGAAGAACGCAGCGAAAUGCGAUAAGUAAUGUGAAUUGCAUAAUUCAGUGAAUCAUCGAGUCUUUGAACGCACAUUGCGCCCCCUGGUAUUCCGGGGGGCAUGCCUGUCCGAGCGUCAUUGCUGCCCUCAAGCACGGCUUGUGUGUUGGGCCCCCGUCCCCCUCUCCCGGGGGACGGGCCCGAAAGGCAGCGGCGGCACCGCGUCCGGUCCUCGAGCGUAUGGGGCUUUGUCACCUGCUCUGUAGGCCCGGCCGGCGCCAGCCGACACCCAACUUUAUUUUUCUAAGGUUGACCUCGGAUCAGGUAGGGAUACCCGUUGAACUUAAGCAUAUCAA
Molecule: ribosomal RNA, 572 nt
Filed under: Aspergillus fumigatus
Lineage: Eukaryota; Fungi; Ascomycota; Eurotiomycetes; Eurotiales; Aspergillaceae
Description: eukaryotic LSU rRNA
Rfam family: 5.8S ribosomal RNA (bases 202-355)
Source: RNAcentral